UAUGAGAAGUGUAUGGCCACAGAAGUUGCUGCUGAUGCUCUGGGUAAACACUGGAAGGGUUACGCAGUCUGAAUCAGUGGUGGGAACAAGGUUUCCUCAUGAAGCAGGAUGUCUUGACCCAUGGCCAUAUCUGCCUGCUGCUGGGUAAGGGGCAUUCCUGUUAUAGACCAGGGAGAACUGGAGAAAGAAAACAAUAAUCUGUUCAGGCGUGCAUUGUGAAUGCCAAUCUGAGUGUUCUCAAAUUGGUUAUUGUUAAAAAAGGAGAGAAGGAUAUUCCUGAGCUGAUCCUAUGGUGUCUCAUCUCCUGGGGUCCAAGAUCUAGAAGAAUGAGCAAACUUUUCAAUCUCUCUCAAGAAGAUGAUGUCUGCCACUAUGUCGUAAGCAAGCACUUAAACAAAGAAGGUAAGAAACCUAGGACCAAAGCACCCAAGAUUCAGCAUCUUGUUCCUCCACGUGUCCUGCAGCACAAAUGCCAGCAUAUUACUCUGAAGAAACAGUAUAUUAAGAAAAAUAAGGAAGAGGCUCCAGAAUAUGCUAAACUUUUGGCCAAGAGAAUGAAGGAGGCUAAAGAAAAGCACCAGGAACAGUUGCCAAGAGACACAGACCGUCCUCACUGCAAGCCUGUACUUCUCAGUCUGAAUCCAGUCAAAAAUAA
This 655-nucleotide long non-coding RNA is filed under the name Homo sapiens (human). RNAcentral describes it as "non-protein coding lnc-PLET1-3:1". The record is from RNAcentral. Lineage: Eukaryota; Metazoa; Chordata; Mammalia; Primates; Hominidae.